Non-coding RNA from Pelobates cultripes (western spadefoot toad), 496 nucleotides. Lineage: Eukaryota; Metazoa; Chordata; Amphibia; Anura; Pelobatidae. The record is from the annotation of a GenBank genome assembly.
CUCACAAACAGCACACUAAAAGCCCCCGCACAAACACACACACAGCACACUCACACACAAACAGCACACUAACAGGACCCUAACAAACACACACGCAAACAGCACCCUCACACAGCACACUAGCAGCACACACACACACAGCAGUGUUAUAUAUACAUACAUACAUAUACACGCGGCGUGUGUUUGUGCUUUAGGGUGCACACGUUAGAACAUGUCCAUGAAUGUAGGCUUCUCUCGGGGGCAUAGCUCCCCUAUUGGUCACAUAGGGGAGUAGCGUGGGCUUGGGCCAUAUGGUCCCACGCAUGCCAGGCGGGAAUGCUGGAUUAUGGGCAGUAGCGGGGAGUUUGAGCCUAUUAGGUAAUGCUUUUCGGGCAAAUUUCCUCCAAAGUUGUAUCAGAGGGCUUUUUGUGGGGUGUGGUCUAGGGCAGAUAGUAGAUAUCGCCCCCGUCUGCCACGGUAUGGAGGCCAGCGGGACCUCCACUCAUUCUUGUUCCAG